Molecule: ribosomal RNA, 1459 nt
Filed under: uncultured bacterium
Lineage: Bacteria
Description: partial 16S ribosomal RNA
Rfam family: Bacterial small subunit ribosomal RNA
Source: RNAcentral
AGGGUUUGAUCAUGGCUCAGGACGAACGCUGGCGGCGUGCUUAACACAUGCAAGUCGAACGAUGAAGUGGAGCUUGCUCCACGGAUUAGUGGCGAACGGGUGAGGAACACGUGAGAAACCUGCCUCGGAUUUUGGGAUAACAAAUGGAAACGUUUGCUAAUACCAAAUAACGUCGGAGAGUCACAUGACUUUCUGACGAAAGGAAUUCCGAUUCGAGAUGGUCUCGCGGCCUAUCAGCUAGUUGGUGAGGUAAUGGCUCACCAAGGCGACGACGGGUAGCCGGCCUGAGAGGGCGACCGGCCACACUGGGACUGAGACACGGCCCAGACUCCUACGGGAGGCAGCAGUAGGGAAUAUUGGGCAAUGGGCGCAAGCCUGACCCAGCGACGCCGCGUGAGGGAUGAAGGUCUUCGGAUUGUAAACCUCUUUCAGUAGGGAAGAAGCGAAAGUGACGGUACCUAAAGAAGAAGCACCGGCUAACUAUGUGCCAGCAGCCGCGGUAAUACAUAGGGUGCAAGCGUUGUCCGGAAUUAUUGGGCGUAAAGAGCUCGUAGGUCGUUUGUCGCGUCGAUUGUGAAAAUCUGAGGCUCAACCUCAGACCUGCAGUCGAUACGGGCAAACUAGAGUGUGGUAGGGGAGACUGGAAUUCCUGGUGUAGCGGUGGAAUGCGCAGAUAUCAGGAGGAACACCAAUGGCGAAGGCAGGUCUCUGGGCCAUAACUGACACUGAGGAGCGAAAGUGCGGGGAGCAAACAGGAUUAGAUACCCUGGUAGUCCACGCUGUAAACGAUGGGUACUAGAUUUGGUGGGUCUUGACCCCCGCUGAAUCGGAGCUAACGCACUAAGUACCCCGCCUGGGAAGUACGGUCGCAAGACUAAAACUCAAAGGAAUUGACGGGGGCCCGCACAAGCGGUGGAUCAUGUGGUUUAAUUCGAAGCAACGCGAAGAACCUUACCUGGAUUUGACAUCCUCUGACAGCUGUAGAGAUACAGUUUUAGUAGCAAUACUACAGAGAGACAGGUGCUGCAUGGCUGUCGUCAGCUCGUGUGGUGACAUGUUGGGUUAAGUCCCGCAACGAGCGCAACCCUUGUCUUUAGUUGCCAGCAUUCAGUUGGGCACUCUAAAGAGACUGCCGUGGUUAACACGGAGGAAGGUGGGGAUGACGUCAAGUCCUCAUGGCCUUUAUAUCCAGGGCGACACACGUGAUACAAUGGAUGGUACAGAGGGAAGCCAAACGGCGACGUGGAGCUAAUCUCAAAAAGCCAUUCUCAGUUCGGAUUGGAGUCUGCAACUCGACUCCAUGAAGUUGGAAUCGCUAGUAAUCGCGGAUAAGAACGCCGCGGUGAAUACGUUCCCGGGCCUUGUACACACCGCCCGUCACACCAUGGGAGCUGACUCAACCAGAAGACGGACAGGGUAACCGAAAGGAGCCCUCCGGCGAAGGUGGGGUUGGUGACUG